AAAGGGAGACCUAAUUCGGGUAUAAGACGAAAAAAAAGUAGUCCCUACCAAGAAUCAAUCCCAAAAGGUCGGAACGAGGUAUGAGGCUUUCAAACUAGGUUCUGGGUUCAUAAAAGACCUGAAUCAGGAACAAGGGCUAUUAGCUCAGGUGGUUAGAGCGCACCCCUGAUAAGGGUGAGGUCCCUGGUUCGAGUCCAGGAUGGCCCACCUGCACAGGUGGCAAAAACAAAGAAGCGAGGAAUCAGCACCUUAUCUUACUUAUAUAGUAAGAGAGAAUGCUGGCUCUGAGUAAAGAGUCCAGAGGAACCUUGAAAACUGCAUAGAGCUAGGUGAAAAAGCCAAAAAAGAAGACCGCAAG
This 358-nucleotide transfer RNA is filed under the name uncultured Microcystis sp. RNAcentral's name for it is "partial 16S-23S ribosomal RNA intergenic spacer". The stretch from base 134 to 207 matches the Rfam family "tRNA". The record is from RNAcentral. Lineage: Bacteria; Bacillati; Cyanobacteriota; Cyanophyceae; Chroococcales; Microcystaceae.